Molecule: long non-coding RNA, 309 nt
Organism: Alexandromys fortis (reed vole)
Lineage: Eukaryota; Metazoa; Chordata; Mammalia; Rodentia; Cricetidae
Exons: 3
Source: RefSeq, a predicted model, not a curated record
CAUGGUUCUCCCACUCCAGACAGACGCAGGUUAAGAUCCUCUCUGCAGAGGGGAGAGCAAAGGAGACAUGGUGUGCUCUCUCGGAGAUACACAAGCAGGGCGUGGCAGGAUCUGGGAGGAACACAGGAGACAUUUCUGCCACGGCCUUGGCCAACAAUCUGGAAACUCCCUUUUCCUCUAAGCUCACUGUGCACUUCAGGGUUCUUCAGGACCUUGGCGCUGCCAAAACGCUUGAAGCGGCUCUUCACGUUGCUGUAGAACCAUUCCAGAGACUGUGUCCUCAGAAGCCUGUUAGACGAGCAACGGUUA